Molecule: long non-coding RNA, 1970 nt
Organism: Manihot esculenta (cassava)
Lineage: Eukaryota; Viridiplantae; Streptophyta; Magnoliopsida; Malpighiales; Euphorbiaceae
Exons: 2
Source: RefSeq, a predicted model, not a curated record
AAGUUCCUUAAUUUUUUCCAAUGCACUUCGAAAUUUCAAGGAAACAUAAUAUAUCAAAAUUUAAUCACAUUAAAACAAACGACGAAAGCAAGAAUUUUAUAUUUAAGCUCUCAUUUAACCCUUUGGUUGAAAGGAGCAAAACGGAGCCGGGGGGCAUAUAGAAGCUUGAGCUUCGAAUCCAUUUAACAGAAACAUUUAAGUAAUCCAGAUAGAAGAUGUUGACAGCAAGUGGAAAAAGACGGUCAGGAACUCGAUUGUCUGAAAGCAUAUCGGUAAUCAGAUGAACUUCGGAACAACUUUGGUAUGAGAUUUGGUAGGGGCCGCGCGAACGCUGGCCCCCUCUGGCACAAAUUACGACGUAGGCUCUCCCAACUAGGGGAGACCUUAGACCAGCACCCCUCCUAAGUGCAAUGGAGGUCACUGACCUAGGCCAUGGGCCUUCCUGAUCACCCAUUGACCCCGUCCAGCAUUUCACGGGGCAGUGAAUGGACUGAAAGAGGAUUUGUUCCACUGAAAUGAGCAUGGAGGGAAAGGCCGAAUUGGAGGGAGAAGUGUGGAUUGUAGUAUGUUUUCAUAUACGUACUCUUCAAUGUAGUUUCAGGUUGAACGAGGUUCAAAGGUAGAGCUUCCUUCUGCAUUUGAGGCAAGCUGUGUCGAUGAGUGUUCCUGCCUGCUUCAAUCCAAACUAAUAGUCCUAAGGGAUCUGGAUGCCACUGUUCUGUUUCAUAUAUAGAGUGAGGGGAAGGGUGAUGUUAUGAAGUGAUUGUAUUGACACUCCUUCAAGCUCCUCGAAGUAUGGUGCUCGUAGGACUAUGGGGAUGGCUAAACGAUCCAAGGAGCAAAAUUGCCCAAGUAAUGAAGGGACGGGCCAAUCGGUAGGAAGAAAUACCAAAGGGGUACUGGAUUGGCCUAUGUUGCCAAGAGGGUAAUUCUAUCAGCAGUGGGCGUUGGUGGCGGCUAGCUAGCGCACAGGCAGUUGAUGGAGCGUGGUAGGCCUAUGGGAAGGGCCUGUACCAACUGGACCUGCAGGAUGCGCAAGAGUUGCGAGGCACGCAGGGGCUGCGAGAUGCGCAGGGGACGUGGGGCACUGUGGCGACAGGCCUGCGGAACGCCUACUGGCGCGGGGCAUGCAACAAGUGCACGACACGCAGGAUGCACAUGUGCUGCUGUGGAGCGCACAAGGCAGGCAUGCACAGGGAGCACGCCAGUAUCGCCGAGGGGCAUGCGCUGGUAGGCCUACAAAUCGAGGUUCGAGUGUGCGAGCUACAGUAAGGCGGUGCAAGGCCGGACAUGCUAAAAGGCGCGAGAAGCUUCUAGAAGGACUUGGGGCACGCCGAAAGUCGCCAGGGAAGUCUAGUUGGCCAAUGAAGGUUCCAGAUUGGCCUAGAAUUGGCUAGUGGCAUCCGGGGCAGUCAGGGGGCAGCCAAACCAGUCCAGAAGCUUCCAAAAACUUGCUGGGCAACAGGUUCUCUCCAACCAAGAGAGUCCCACGAGUUGGCUGGCCAGCAAAUCUAGAAUUCUCCCCAGAAUGUGAAAUUAUAAUUUAGUCCCUGAAACUUUUGGAAGGGGAAUUCUGGCUACAAAUUGGAGAGUGCAUUUCCACCGCAAGUUGAGGAGGUGGAAUGCAUAUAAAUAGGGGUGUUGGGCCAUUUGGACAGCAACAUGUGAGAGUCAUACUUGUGAGUUCUCUUGUAAACUUGUGAGACAUUCUUGUGAGAGUUUUGAGUGGUACUUGUACAUAGCUUAGCUUUGUAUUCUCACAUACAUUUGGUUGGGGAAAGCAUUAUGCCUCCAACUCUCACUUAGAACAAAUCCUCUUCCAGUCCAUUCACUGCCUGGUGAAAUGCUACCGGGACAAACAAAUAUUGUAGUAACCCCAAAGCUUCCGAGUUUUGAGUGGUACUUGUACAUAGCUUAGCAAUAUGUGGUGUUUGUUCUUAUAUAUUUGAAAUUAGAGCUCUCUUCUGACA